RNAcentral lists this ribosomal RNA (445 nucleotides) under uncultured bacterium. RNAcentral describes it as "bacterial SSU rRNA". It matches the Rfam family "Bacterial small subunit ribosomal RNA", at positions 355 to 801 of the family's 1533-position model. The record is from RNAcentral.
UAAGGAAUAUUGCGCAAUGGGCGACAGCCUGACGCAGCGACGCCGCGUGGGGGAUGAAGGUCUUCGGAUUGUAAACCCCUUUCGGCAGGGAAGAUGGAACGGGUAACCGUUCGGACGGUACCUGCAGAAGCAGCCACGGCUAACUUCGUGCCAGCAGCCGCGGUAAUACGAAGGUGGCAAGCGUUGUUCGGAUUUACUGGGCGUACAGGGAGCGUAGGCGGUUGGGUAAGCCCUCCGUGAAAUCUCCGGGCCUAACCCGGAAAGUGCGGAGGGGACUGCUCGGCUAGAGGAUGGGAGAGGAGCGCGGAAUUCCCGGUGUAGCGGUGAAAUGCGUAGAGAUCGGGAGGAAGGCCGGUGGCGAAGGCGGCGGCUCUGGAACAUUUCUGACGCUGAGGCUCGAAAGCGUGGGGAGCAAACAGGAUUAGAUACCCGCGUAGUCCCUGAG